GACGAACGCUGGCGGCGUGCCUAAUACAUGCAAGUUGAGCGAUGAAGAUUGGUGCUUGCACCAAUUUGAAGAGCAGCGAACGGGUGAGUAACGCGUGGGGAAUCUGCCUUUGAGCGGGGGACAACAUUUGGAAACGAAUGCUAAUACCGCAUAACAACUUUAAACAUAAGUUUUAAGUUUGAAAGAUGCAAUUGCAUCACUCAAAGAUGAUCCCGCGUUGUAUUAGCUAGUUGGUGAGGUAAAGGCUCACCAAGGCGAUGAUACAUAGCCGACCUGAGAGGGUGAUCGGCCACAUUGGGACUGAGACACGGCCCAAACUCCUACGGGAGGCAGCAGUAGGGAAUCUUCGGCAAUGGACGAAAGUCUGACCGAGCAACGCCGCGUGAGUGAAGAAGGUUUUCGGAUCGUAAUACUCUGUUGGUAGAGAAGAACGUUGGUGAGAGUGGAAAGCUCAUCAAGUGACGGUAACUACCCAGAAAGGGACGGCUAACUACGUG
RNAcentral lists this ribosomal RNA (497 nucleotides) under uncultured bacterium. RNAcentral's name for it is "partial 16S ribosomal RNA". It matches the Rfam family "Bacterial small subunit ribosomal RNA", at positions 28 to 507 of the family's 1533-position model. The record is from RNAcentral.